Molecule: long non-coding RNA, 1927 nt
Filed under: Ananas comosus (pineapple)
Lineage: Eukaryota; Viridiplantae; Streptophyta; Magnoliopsida; Poales; Bromeliaceae
Description: long non-coding RNA (ACOM_LNC029971)
Source: RNAcentral
UAUAUAUAUAGAGAGAGAGAGAGAGAGAGAGAGAGAGAGAGAGAGAGAGAGAGAGAGAGUUUGACUGGAUUACUAUCGGUAGUAAACUGCUCGGUUUAUUACCGAUUUAUUUUUGAUAAUAGAACUUCCAAAUCGACGAUCGGUACCGUUGAACAUGAUCUAGACCAUUUAAAUUAUCUAGAAAUUAAAUUUCAUAAUUUUUUCGCAUCACUAACUGAACGAUCAAAGGGUCACAAAAUCUAUAAUUUUAAUGGCUGAUUUGGUGCGUUUGCUCAUUUAACGGUAUAGAAGAGUUCAAAUCAACUAAAUUUUGUUAAAAAAUUCUUUAAACUAUUUAAAAUAAGAUCUAUACUCUAUAUCUCAAAUAUAAAAAUUGUAUCAUCCCUUUUGAAGGAUAUUCGUUUCCGGCCAUUCAUUUUUCUGUUCACUUGAUGGACAAGAGAACAAUAUAAAAAAUGUGUGAAAUUUGAUUUUCCGAUAGUUUAAAUAGUUUAGAUCAUGUUUAACGGUGCCUAUCAUCAAUUUGGAAGCUCUAUCAUCGAAAAUAAAUCGGUAGUAACCAAGCUGUUUACUACCGAUAGUAUUCUAGCAAAACACUCUCUCUCUCUCUCUCUCUCUCUCUCUCUCUCUCUCUCUCUCUCUCUAUAUAUAUAUAUAUAUAUAUAUAUAGUAGAGCUAUUAUGCUACCGGAAGUAUAAAGUGGUUGGUGCUUUCGAUUUUUUAGCCCUUAGAUCAAUCACAUUGAUCAUUUCUAAUCAUUGGAUUAAUAUUAUUAACCAACAGGGACCACUCAACCCUAAGGAGACCACUCAAUCCUAAGGGGACUGCUAUCAUUCCAACCGUAGAAUCUUUAAUUCAAGAGCUAAAAAAUCGGAAGUAUCAACUAUUUUAUGCUUCUGAUAACAUAGUAGAAAAAUGAAAAAAAUACAGAAAAGUAUUUUUCUUUUUUGUUCUAUAACUAGUUCUUUAUUGUAAACAGGAUCAUAUGAUAUUGAUUAACUACCAUGCAUUUUUCACUAAAUUAGCUUUUGAGUAUGUAUAUACAUAUGUAUAUAUACUCAUGGAAUCGCUAUCACUGUAAAUCGUCUAAUCCAAUAUAAGAACUUUACCUAUGUUUGGUAGGAAAAUGAGUUUAUAUUCUGUUAUAUAUUUUCUCCCUUUUUUAAUCCAAACACUCGCUAAAGGGAGGAAAUAGCUAUAAGCCGUAUUUAGUAAGAACAAUACAUAUAGUCACUACAACAGAAUUACAUACAGUCAAUACAUACAUACAGUCACUACAACAAAAUUAGAAAAUGAGUUUUUAAUCCAAACACUCGCUAAAGGGAGGAAAUAGCUAUAAGCCGUAUUUAGUAAGAACAAUAUAUACAGUCACUACAACAGAAUUAGAUUAUAGGAACAUAUUUUUAAGAUAUUUUUAUGUAAGUGUUCCAUUUAUGCUAAAUUUUUUUAAAACUAUCUACUAAAACUUAAAUAUAAAACCUAAUACAACCAAAAAUAAAAAAGUUGUUCUACUCAACCAACCCCACCCAACCCAUCGGACCGAUUACAAAUAGAAAAGAAAAAAAUAAAAAAAUUGAUCACCAUCUUUUCUUCUCCUCCUCCACUGUUGCAGCCGAUGAGGUACAUCUCCCUUUUCCUCCUCCAUCGUUGCCAUCGACGAGGAAGAGUUCCUGCGGUUGGAAUUCAGCGGCGAGAAUCUCGCAGAGACCGUAGAAGGUUACGAUCGCCACGUGUCCCUCCGCCACAGGUCGCUGGAGGAAUGGAUGUCAAAUAUCGAGGCGGCUCCACAUAUAGGAACCUCACAUAUAGCAACACUUUUAAAAAAUAUCGAUAAUUUAGCCGGCAGUAUUUUUUUUUUAUCUAUACCGAUAUUUAAAAAUAUUACUAUGCAUCAUUUUUAUUACGGUGAGUAAAAAUACGGUACAGU